Molecule: ribosomal RNA, 247 nt
Filed under: uncultured bacterium
Lineage: Bacteria
Description: partial 16S ribosomal RNA
Rfam family: Bacterial small subunit ribosomal RNA
Source: RNAcentral
AACGAACGCUGGCGGCGUGCCUGAGACAUGCAAGUCGUGGGAGAAAGUCGGAGCAAUCCGGCUAGUAAACCGGCGCACGGGUGAGUAACACGUGGACAACCCGCCUUGGAGUUCGGGAUAACCCGUCGAAAGACGGACUAAUACCGGAUAUGACCACGGGGAGUUCGCUCUCUGAGGUAAAAGAUGGCCUCUGCUCCUGCAAGCUAUCCUCUUCGAGGAGGGGUCCGCGUCCUAUCAGCUAGUUGGU